Molecule: ribosomal RNA, 2202 nt
Filed under: Triticum aestivum (bread wheat)
Lineage: Eukaryota; Viridiplantae; Streptophyta; Magnoliopsida; Poales; Poaceae
Description: partial small subunit ribosomal RNA
Source: RNAcentral
AUGCAGAGCGUAUACAAGUACAAAGUGGGUAUACCAUGUCAAAAGUCCAUAUUACCCUUUAUACGUUUUGUGUGGGGGGUUGUACCGACAAUCCUCCAACAUCUCUACCUUGCUGAUACUCAACUAUUUGGUCAAGCUCCUGAUGCACUGGCACAUAUGACGUCCCUCCAGGUCCUUGAUUUGUCAUGUAAUCCUAACACGGAUAUGAUGACUACAAGCUUCAGAAACCUAUGCAAUCUGAGAAUCCUGGACCUUUCUUAUUGUCAAAUGGUUGGAAAUAUAAAGGAUAUCAUAGGGAGGAUGCCCCAGUGUCCCUUGAACAAACUGCAGAAGUUGCAUUUGGGCUACAAUAAUAUCAGCGGAAUCAUGCCAGAUCGGACACCACACUUGACCAGCCUAGUCGUACUUGACAUCUCUCAGAACAACCUAACUGGGGGCAUAACACGAUGGGUGGUGCUGCUCUCUAGUUUAAGCAGCCUUGAUCUUUCUUACAACCAUCUCAGUGGACCUGUACCUUCUGAGAUCGACAUGCUCGGCAAUUUAACUAUGUUGGAUCUCAGUAGCAACAACUUGAAUGGUGACCUCACUGAAGAACAUUUUACAAGUCUAAUGAGGCUAAAGAGGCUGUAUUUAAGUGGAAAUUCCUUGAGGAUUAUAGUUGGUCCUGAUUGGAUACCACCCUUCAGUUUAGAAGAAAUAGAUCUUGGCUCUUGCCAACUGGGCCCUUCGUUUCCUGCAUGGCUUCAGUUCCAAGUAGACAUUAGGGAGAUGGAUAUAUCAAGCACAGGUAUAGUUGAUAGGCUUCCUGACUGGUUCAGCACUACAUUUGCAAAGGUCACAGAUCUACGCAUCUCCAACAAUGAAAUCAGUGGCAGAUUGCCAAGAAACAUGGAAUUCAUGUCACUGCAAAAUUUCUUUAUCAAUUCAAAUAAACUAACUGGUGAAAUCCCCAACUUACCAAGAAAUAUUGCCAUCUUGGACAUGUCUGAAAACUCUUUAUCUGGAAAUUUGCCAUCGAACAUUGAGAUCACAGAUUUGACUUCAUUUUGGUUGCGCUCCAAUCAAAUAACUGGUUGUAUUCCCGAAUCACUCUGUAAAGUGGAAUCCUUGUAUGUCUUGGAAUUAAGCAACAAUCUUCUUGAGGGACAACUUCCUCAGUGUUUUGGGGUGAAGUACAUUGGCUUUCUCAUGUUGGGUAACAAUAGAUUCUCUGGCAACUUCCCAUUGUUUCUAAAAAGCUGGACACAAUUGAUGUCUCUAGAUCUAUCACAUAAUAGUUUUUCCGGAAGGUUUCCUUUGUGGAUUGGAGAUUUGGUUGAAUUACGAUUUCUCCGGCUAGAUCAAAAUAUGUUUUUUGGAGAAAUCCCAUGUACCAUCUCAAAUCUUAGUUCCCUUCAGCAUAUGAACCUAGCAGGCAAUGGCUUAUCAGGUGCCAUACCGCGGCAUCUGUCAAAUGCGACAGCCAUGAUAGGGAAGUACAGAAAGGUUUCUAGGGAUGAGACAGAUUAUGAAGUAUACAUGAAUAUGGUCUUUAGAUAUGAUUUUUCUUCUGUGGUCAUCAAGGGACGAGAACUUAAUUAUAGUACUGGCAUUUGGAAUUUGGUUAGCAUUGACUUAUCUUUCAACCAAUUAACUGGGGGAAUACCAGAAGAAAUUACGGCUCUUGAUGCGUUGAUAAACUUGAAUCUAUCAUCAAACCGAUUGAGUGAGAAAUUUCCAAAUAAGCUUGGGGUCUUGCAAGCAUUGGAAUCACUUGACCUCUCAAGGAACAUGCUUUCUAGCAGAAUCCCUUCAAGCCUGUCAGAUUUAAACUAUUUGAGCUACUUGGACUUGUCUGAUAACAAUUUAACAGGGAGAAUACCAUCAGGACGCCAUCUUGACACACUCUACACAGAGCAACCUUCCAUGUACAGUGGCAACAGUGGUCUUUGUGGGCCUCCUCUUCCAAACAGUUGCUCCGGGAAGAAUGUAACAAGGCAAGAUGAUCAAAAAGGGAAUGGACAUUCCUUUGAGCCAAUGACCUUUUGUUUUGGACUCGCUCUGGGAUUUAUUCUGGGUCUCUGGGUGGUGUUCUGCAUCCUGUUGUUCAAGAAAGUAUGGAGGAUUGCUUAUUUCCGUGUGGUUGACCAGACAUAUGAUCAGAUGUAUGUGUUUUCCGUUCUUACAUGGAGAAGCUGGGCCAGAAAGGAAGCUACAAAUUGA